This 77-nucleotide transfer RNA is filed under the name Patescibacteria group bacterium. RNAcentral's name for it is "tRNA-Arg". It matches the Rfam family "tRNA". From Rfam's summary of the family: Transfer RNA (tRNA) molecules are approximately 80 nucleotides in length. Their secondary structure includes four short double-helical elements and three loops (D, anti-codon, and T loops). Further hydrogen bonds mediate the characteristic L-shaped molecular structure. tRNAs have two regions of fundamental functional importance: the anti-codon, which is responsible for specific mRNA codon recognition, and the 3' end, to which the tRNAs corresponding amino acid is attached (by aminoacyl-tRNA synthetases). tRNAs cope with the degeneracy of the genetic code in two manners: having more than one tRNA (with a specific anti-codon) for a particular amino acid; and 'wobble' base-pairing, i.e. permitting non-standard base-pairing at the 3rd anti-codon position. The record is from RNAcentral.
GCGCCUGUAGCUCAGUGGAUUAGAGCACUGGUCUUCGGAACCAGGUGUCGGGGGUUCGAAUCCCUCCGGGCGCGCCA